This 492-nucleotide ribosomal RNA is filed under the name uncultured bacterium. RNAcentral describes it as "partial 16S ribosomal RNA". It matches the Rfam family "Bacterial small subunit ribosomal RNA", at positions 29 to 507 of the family's 1533-position model. The record is from RNAcentral.
AGUGAACGCUGGCGGUAGGCCUAACACAUGCAAGUCGAACGGCAGCACAGUAAGAGCUUGCUCUUACGGGUGGCGAGUGGCGGACGGGUGAGGAAUACAUCGGAAUCUACUUUUUCGUGGGGGAUAACGUAGGGAAACUUACGCUAAUACCGCAUACGACCUACGGGUGAAAGCAGGGGAUAUUCGGACCUUGCGCGAUUGAAUGAGCCGAUGUCGGAUUAGCUAGUUGGCGGGGUAAAGGCCCACCAAGGCGACGAUCCGUAGCUGGUCUGAGAGGAUGAUCGGCCACACUGGAACUGGAACACGGACCAGACUCCUACGGGACGCAGCAGUGGGGAAUAUUAGACAAUGGGCGCAAGCCUGAUCCAGCCGUACCGCGUGGGUGAAGGAGGCCUUCGGGUUGUAAAGCCCUUUUGUUGGGAAAGAAAAGCAGCAGGUUAAUACCCCGCUGUUCUGACGGUACCCAAAAAAUAAGCACCGGCUAACUUCGUG